Molecule: long non-coding RNA, 1930 nt
Organism: Ipomoea triloba (trilobed morning glory)
Lineage: Eukaryota; Viridiplantae; Streptophyta; Magnoliopsida; Solanales; Convolvulaceae
Exons: 2
Source: RefSeq, a predicted model, not a curated record
CCUGCGUCUCCAUGGAGUCGAACCCGGGUCUAUUGCUUGGAAGGCAAUUAUCCUAACCGUUGGACUACAAACGCCAUUAUUGAGAAGGAUUCUCGUGUGCCCACCAAGUGUUUGGAAAAAGGUGUGAAAGGACUGCUGCAAAGUACAAAUUUCUUGCUGCGGCGCUGUGAGCCUGAGGAUUUGAAUCAUCUGAUAAUCUAAUAUCAGAAUCUCCAUUCCCAUGGUAGCUUUGAUACAAACAGAAGCAAAAAAGAAAAAGAUUGGAAGCCUGUCAGACAGCAAGAGACCAUCCCAACCAUGAACCCAUGGGUGAGAACGAUCCUCUGCGGCUCCGCCCAAUGAAGGUUGGGGCUGUUAAUCACGCUCUAGUCUCUUGGCCAUAGUUCAUCCACCAUGGCUUAGUUUCCUGUCUCCUUAGAUCUCAAGGAUAAGGAGGUACGAGCCUAUAGAACAGAUCCUGUUCAAGUAAGGUCAUGCCAAUUCGUCUCCUUCAGCAACUUAUAUUGUGGUUCAGGCUUAAUAGGCUUCCAGUGUGGGACAAAUUUCCAUCUUUUAACAGCGUGGUCUUUGAGGUUGUUUUGUCCAGUAAAUGUUGAUUGAAUUCUUUCUGAUCUUGGUGAAGUUUAAUCACUGCACAGAAUAAAAUGAUUGAAUAGAGAAUAUCACAAAUCAUUAAAAUAGGCACUGCAACAGAUGCGUUAAGGUGCGUCUACCGGGAGUCGAACCCGGGUCUAUUUCUUGGAAGGCAAUUAUCCUAACCGCUGGAGUACAAACGCCAUUGUUGAGAAGGAUUCUCGUGUGCCCACCAAGUGUUUGGUAAAAGCUGUGAAAGGGUUGCUACAAAUUACAGAUUUCUUACUGUGCCCACCAAUUGUUUGAUAAAAGGUGUCACAUGGUUGCACCAAAGCACAGAUUUCUUGCUGCAAGCCUGAGGAAUCGCAAUGUCCAUUCCCAUGGUAGCUUUGAUACAACAGCAAAAAAAAGAAAAAGUUUAGGGAGCUUGGAGCCUGUCAGACAGCCAAGAGACCAUCCCAGCCAUGAACCCAUGGCUGAGAACGAUCCUCUACGGCUCAGCCCAGUGAAGGCAUGAGCUGUUAAUCACGCUCUAGUCUCUUGGCUAUAGUUCAUCCACCAGGCUUGGUUUCCUGUCUCCUUAGAACUCAAGGAUACAGAGGUACGAGCCUAUAGAACAGAUCCUGUUCAAGUAAGGUCGUGCCCUGUCGUUUCCUUCAGCAACUUAUGUUCAGGCAUCAACCUUCACAGGCUUCCGAUGUGGGACAUUUCUGUCGUUUAAACCUGUACUCCUAUGCGUUGUUUUUUGUUUUCAAGUAAAUGUCGUCUUAAUUCUUCUGAUCUUGAUGAAGUUUUGUUAUAAUGUUCAAGACUACUAUAGUACUACACACACACACACAUAUAUAUAUAUAGAGAGAGAGCAGACUGCAGAGGAGAAGGGGUGAGGGUGGGGGGUAGAGUCCUUAACCAAGUAUGACUUUAAGUUGUCCUUUACUUUGUAAGGUUCCCACUGUCCUGCAAGGCAAUUCUGUGCUUAAAUCCAUUCCUGUUUGAUGUUACACUUUAUCUGCCUACCAUCCACUGUUGUAUGCUUUGCAAGUUUUUUGUUGGCCUGGAGUUCUUAUUUGGUUUCUCAGUGACAUAUAUUGGGUGAGGUAGAGGCAGAAGGGAUUAUACAAUUUCUGCAGAUAAGCUAAGGUUUCUCCAGUCUCAAUUCAUGAAGAUUAGCAUAAGCAGCACUGAGACUGAAAAUUUGGAUGGAAAUGGCUUAUAAACAUUUUUCUUCUACUUUUACUAUAUGUUAUGGUACCUGUCUUCAUUAAAGAGGUGUAAAUUUGUUGAUUGAAAAUGCCUAAACUCAUUUGGUGUGUUUUGCUUUAUCAUUUACGAGUUACCAUUUUUUUUUUGGAUGAGGUGA